UGCCCGUCUCCCAGCCCGCAGCGCCCAGAAGGGAAGGUGGCUGAGGGCACCAGAGCCCCCACCGCCACCUCUCUCCCCAAAAUAAACACCAGCCAACCGAGCCCCGAGACGGGAGGGGUGCAGGGCGCGCCGGCACUCACCUCCUCGGGAAUGGCCGGGAUUUACUAGAAGAGGAGGAUGGUGUUCGAGAAGAAGUUGAAAUCCUAGAGGGAGAAAGACGGGAAGCCCAUACUACUUGUGUUAUUUCCAUUAUAACGAACGUCUCCGUGUCAUAAAAAUAAGACUUGAAACCCCGAGGUAGCAAUAGUCAAGCAGAAUUUGAUAGAAAUAGAUUUAGGUAAAGACAAGUUACGAGAAUGAUGCUUGGAUCCUUUUCAUUAAAGGAUUUGGCCUGUUAAUAAAGUGGGUCUAAAUGGAAGUCUAAAAGCUUUUCUUUUUUUGCUUCAUCGUUCAGGAAUAAAAUGUUUAGUCUAUUUUUCGUUUCCCAGAUUCAUUCAACAAAUGUCAGUGGGUCGCUUUCUAUGUUCUAGAGCCUGCACAAGGCAUGGAGCAUUCUAGACAUUUGAAGCAUCCAAACUUGAAUCAUUUUUAUUUUUAAGAAAAUCAUUCAAAAUAUUUUAAAUACUUUUGUCCUGCUCAUAAACAAUAUUCCAAGGAAUUCUUUAUGCCAAAUAUGCAUGAAAACAAGAGAAGAGAGGUAAAUUACCUUUGAGAGGCCCAGUUACAGAAUGGAAUUAGUUAAAGAAACCCAAUUUAUUAUUAAAAACACAUGUAUGUGAAAGGAAAGGGGAAUAUGAAAGGGAAAAAAUCUAAGGAAGGGAGAAAUAGGAGUGAGAAACAGUGGAAGUUACUGUGAGCUCCAAAUGGUGUGCAGUUAAUCACAAAGUAACGUAAACAUCAAGUCAUGAGAAGCUUUAAGUGUACUACCCAUAGGGGGAAAGUCACCAGUGACCUUCUUGUAUUCACCAUGAUUCAAGAGAUAGAAAGCCGUCCUACUGACUUCUGAAGCAGAAUGUCUGUGUAAGGAUAGAGUUACCAUGAGCCCAGGAGCAGACCCUUACUCCCAAGGGCAUUCAUGUAUUCACAGGAAGCUGGGAAACAAAUCUAGAUGAGAAGCGCUACUCCGAACAUUGCUCCAGAGGAUGGCUGAGACACUGUUACGAAGCCUUGCUGACACUGGAUAGUCCCACCCAUCAGCCAGACUUGCCCAGCCAGGUCUGAUCCCACAUGUAUUGGUCAGCUACUCGAAAACAGGUUGGAGCUGCAUGGGUCUGCUUAUACACAGGUCUUUUUCAAAUAGUAAAUACUACAGUACUACAUGAUCCAAGUCUGGUUGAAUCCACAGAUGCAGAAGUGCGGAUACGGAGGAACCGUGUAUACAGCGGACUAACUGUAUAGAAACCUUUCUACGGGAUCUUGCUUCCUACUUCACAGAGAAAAUAGAGGCUUUAAGGCAUGAACUCUUUAGUUUCCCCCAAGUGGGAACUUCUAUGCAUUUUUAUUCAUUCUCAUCACCUUCCCUACUUCGCAGUGUGAAGUGCCACUCCUCAUUUACGCAUCGACACUGCUGGCUGUCUCCUUUUUCUCAAAAAUCUCUAUUGCAGGCUUCCCUGGUGGCACAGUGGUUAAGAAUCCGCCUGCCGAUGCAGGGGACAUGGGUUUGAGCCCUGGGCCGGGAAGACCCCACAUGUCGCGGAGCAACUAAGCCCAUGCGCCACAACUACUGAGCCCAUGUGCCACAACUUCUGAAGCCUGCGUGCCUAGAGCCCGUGCUCCAUAACAAGAGAAGCCACCGCAGUGAGAAGCCUGUGCACCACAGUGAAGAGUGGCUCCCCCUCACCUCAACCAGAGAAAAGCCCACGCGUAGCAACAAAGACCCAACG
Molecule: long non-coding RNA, 1883 nt
Organism: Orcinus orca (killer whale)
Lineage: Eukaryota; Metazoa; Chordata; Mammalia; Artiodactyla; Delphinidae
Exons: 6
Source: RefSeq, a predicted model, not a curated record